CCUACGGGUAGCAGCAGUGGGGGAUAUUGCUCAAUGGGGGAAACCCUGAUCCAGCGACGCCGCGUGGGCGAAGAAGUAUUUCGGUAUGUAAAGCCCUAUCAGCAGGGAAGAAGAAAUGACGGUACCUGAGUAAUAAGCACCGGCUAAAUACGUGCCAUCAGCCGCGGUAAUACGUAGGGUGCAAGCGUUAUCCGGAUUUACUGGGUGGAAAGGGAGCGCAGGGGGCAAGGCAAGCCUGAGGUGAAAGCCAGCGGCCCAACCAGGGGACUGCAGUGGGAACUGGCGGGCUGGAGUGCCGGAGAGGUAGGCGGAAUUCGUAGUGUAGCGGUGAAAUGCGUAGAUAUUAGGAGGAACACCAGUUGCGAAGGCAGCCUACGGGACGGUGACUGACGCUGAGGCUCGAAAGUGUGGGUAUCAAACAGGAUUAGAUACCCGAGUAGUC
Molecule: ribosomal RNA, 442 nt
Filed under: uncultured bacterium
Lineage: Bacteria
Description: partial 16S ribosomal RNA
Rfam family: Bacterial small subunit ribosomal RNA
Source: RNAcentral